This 484-nucleotide ribosomal RNA is filed under the name uncultured bacterium. Its description in RNAcentral is "partial 16S ribosomal RNA". It matches the Rfam family "Bacterial small subunit ribosomal RNA", at positions 28 to 523 of the family's 1533-position model. The record is from RNAcentral.
GACGAACGCUGGCAGCGUGCUUAACACAUGCAAGUCGAACGAUGAAGCCGGAGCUUGCUCUGGUGAAUUAGUGGCGAACGGGUGAGUAACACGUGAGUAACCUGCCCUUGACUCUGGGAUAACUGCGGGAAACUGUAGCUAAUACCGGAUACGACCCUCGGAGGCAUCUCCUGGGGGUGGAAAGAAUUUCGGUCAAGGAUGGACUCGCGGCCUAUCAGCUGGUUGGUGAGGUAAAGGCUCACCAAGGCGACGACGGGUAGCCGGCCUGAGAGGGUGACCGGCGACACUGGGACUGAGACACGGCCCAGACUCCUACGGGAGGCAGCAGUGGGGAAUAUUGCACAAUGGGCGCAAGCCUGAUGCAGCAACGCCGCGUGAGGGAUGACGGCCUUCGGGUUGUAAACCUCUUUUAGCAGGGAAGAAGCGAAAGUGACGGUACCUGCAGAAAAAGCACCGGCUAACUACGUGCCAGCCGCCGCGGUAA